Long non-coding RNA from Hordeum vulgare subsp. vulgare (domesticated barley), 386 nucleotides. RefSeq lists it as uncharacterized. The transcript is spliced from 2 exons. The record is from RefSeq and is a predicted model, not a curated record. Lineage: Eukaryota; Viridiplantae; Streptophyta; Magnoliopsida; Poales; Poaceae.
ACAUGGAAAUAACUGAAGAACAGUGGUUCUCUUUCCUUGUAGGUGUGUGUGUGCGCGCACACGCGCAUGGUUUGUUGCUGAUAUUUAUAAUGGGUUGUUUGCAGGACAAGCCCGAGCCACCUCCAGAAAGGUUGUCUUCCUGAUGCCACCCAAGGAUAUGACCACCUAAAUUAGGUGUUCUCCACCCAGAUGGGUUCGAGUGAUCAGGACACUGACGCGGGGCGUGAGGAGAUGAAGAGGGCAGAUACAUGAGGAGGAGGACCAGGGGGCAGCAUCUUUUAUAAGAGAAAUGUAUUGUAAUAGUAGGCAGUAUUAGGUAUAUUUGGGUUGUGGUGUAGUGUAAAGAUUGUAAUAGACAAAUUUAAUGUUGGUUUGGACGAAUUUCA